Molecule: ribosomal RNA, 467 nt
Filed under: uncultured bacterium
Lineage: Bacteria
Description: partial 16S ribosomal RNA
Rfam family: Bacterial small subunit ribosomal RNA
Source: RNAcentral
GACGAACGCUGGCGGCGUGCUUAACACAUGCAAGUCGAACGGAAAGGCCCUGCUUUUGUGGGGUGCUCGAGUGGCGAACGGGUGAGUAACACGUGAGUAACCUGCCCUUGACUUUGGGAUAACUUCAGGAAACUGGGGCUAAUACCGGAUAGGAGCUCCUGCUGCAUGGUGGGGGUUGGAAAGUUUCGGCGGUUGGGGAUGGACUCGCGGCUUAUCAGCUUGUUGGUGGGGUAGUGGCUUACCAAGGCUUUGACGGGUAGCCGGCCUGAGAGGGUGACCGGCCAAAUGGGGAAGGGAAAACGGCCCAAACCCCAAGGGGGGGCAGAGGGGGGGAAUAUGGAAAAAGGGGGGGAAGCCGGAUGGAGAAACCCCGGGGGGGGGAUGACGGCCUUGGGGUUGUAAACCGCUUUCGCCUGGGACGAAGGGGGAGUGACGGUAAUGGGGAAAGAAGCACCGGCUAACUACGU